UGGAAAUUUCUUUCAUUCUGCCUUUUUGUGGGUUCCGUUCUAGAAUUUGUUUAGAGCCAUUUUCUACUGGUAUUUGGAGGGGUCUGAGGGAGAGCUCAAGCAAGUCAUUGCAUUUACUCCGCCAUCUUGGCUCUGCCACAUCAGCAAGUCCCCAAAAACUUUUAAGAAUGCUAAUAACAAUGUUAUUUUUAUGCACACUGGGUACAACUGAGGUCAUUAAUAUAAUUUAAAAUAUUUGUUUUUCCUUGCCAUAUACUUUAAUGGAGUCUUAUGUUCUUCUUGUCUAAAUACCAUUUCCCUUGAAAGAAGUCAUCAGCAGCAAUUUUCCUUUCUGAAAGCUUCAGGGACUUCUGCUCCAAAAGCUUUUCUUCACUUUGGUAUGAGGCACACACAGCUGCUGCUUCUUCUUCUUUUGGCUAGGAAAUGUGGUUAAGUGACUUGCCUAAGUGUCAAGUGUCUGAGACUGGAUUUGAACUCAGGUCCUCCUAAUUCCAGGGCCUGUACUCUAUCCACUGUGCCACCUGGCCAUCCCACACACAGCCUCUUGAUGAAGUUGAUGCUGCUGCUCCACCUGCAGAGUUAGCAACUGGAUCUCUUGCUGAAGGACAUCAGUUUUCUGCAGGAGCCAGAGAACCUCCACAAUGAAAAAACUAGAAUAUGAGGCAAAAACAAGAUUUUUAUGGAAGGCCUCUGCAACACAUAUUCAGUCCUAAAUAAACCAAUAUUUGUAUGAAUUGGAGGUGAAGAAAGAGAGGAAGAACAGUUUUUGCAACACUGAUUUCCAGACAUGACAGGAAGAAUCUUCUGGAUGAUACGGCUGGUUCUGCAUGGAGACAAUAUGUAUGUCAAUGAGAAGGAGGCCACAAGGUCCAUGUAGAGUCCACAGCAAUGUCCUCAGAAAGGUUCCACUACAAUCUCUUUCUCACUAUUUAGCAAGUUUUCCUUGGAGCUGCCCCAGUGGAACUGUGCUACCUGGCCUGCUUGGAGCCAAGAAGUAUUCUCCCUCGGAGUUGGCCAGUGCCCUGGAACGCCCCCAACCCUCAUUGCCACACACCACUUUGUCCUACCCUCUCCAAAUCAUCUCCUCUCCAACCUUCAAUCAAAGUCUUGCUCAAGCCCAUAGGUUCUAACACAUCCCUGCUAUACUCUAGAACAAUGCUAUAUUAUCCUAAUGACUAUUAAUGUAAUACUGUUCUUAGCCUAAGGAAUUUGCAAGAUGAAUCCAGCAGAGAUGAUUCUAGCACUAUAUAGUGAAUGAAGGGUAAGAGUGGGUGAUUCAUUGAGACAUUUGGGGUCUUCUGGUGCCUGUCCCUCAACUACUGAUGACUUAAUGAUACCAUUCUACUCUUUCAUCUUUUGCUGUGCACAAAAUUCCUUUAAAGGUAUUAACAUCUUGUCUGUCUUGAUCCUCAUCAUAGUACUGUGAGGUAGAGAGGGAAGAUAUUAGUACUUCCUCUUUUUCGGCUGAGAAAACUGAGUCUCAUAAGUUGUAACACUUGCUCAGAUGUAUAUGCCACACAGGGACCUUCCUACUCUGACUCUGCUUAUGUCCGCCCCUCUAUAUAGUGAUGUAAUUUUUGAGGACACUGUUUUUCAUUUUUCUAUGUUCCAAUUUUGUCAAUUUUUGUGCUCCAAGGGAAAACUUUCCUUAGAGUUUCACAGAUUUGCUUCUGGGGAAAAAAAUUCUAAACAAAUAUCGAAUAUCAUGUCCACUAAAAUAUGUUGAAUAAAUCAGAAAAGUCUCAAUAUCA
Molecule: long non-coding RNA, 1751 nt
Filed under: Phascolarctos cinereus (koala)
Lineage: Eukaryota; Metazoa; Chordata; Mammalia; Diprotodontia; Phascolarctidae
Description: lncRNA (ENSPCIG00000037104.1)
Source: RNAcentral